Molecule: microRNA precursor, 144 nt
Filed under: Marmota monax (woodchuck)
Lineage: Eukaryota; Metazoa; Chordata; Mammalia; Rodentia; Sciuridae
Source: RNAcentral
UACUGUUCACAUUGUGUACCUAUGUUUUCCUUUACAUUUGUGUAACCUCCCAACAACUCUGUGAAGGGCAUCAACUCCAUUCACAGAGUUGUUGGGAGGUUACACAAAUGUAAAGGAAAACAUAGGUACACAAUGUGAACAGUA